UCCGUAGGCGGUGUGGCAAGUCGGUAGUGAAAUCUCUCGGCUUAACUGAGGGGCUGCUGCCGAAACUGCCAUGCUCGAGUGCGAGAGAGGCGAGUGGAAUUGCGGGUGUAGCGGUGAAAUGCGUAGAUAUCCGCAGGAACAUCCGAGGCGAAAGCGGCUCGCUGGAUCGCAACUGACGCUGAGGGACGAAAGCUAGGGGAGCAAACAGGAUUAGAUACCCUGGUAGUCCUAGCCCUAAACCAUCAGGACUUGGGGUUUGCCCUGUACGGGGCAAGUCCCGGAGCUAACGCGUUAAGUCCUGCGCCUGGGGAGUACGGUCGCAAGGCUGAA
RNAcentral lists this ribosomal RNA (330 nucleotides) under uncultured bacterium. RNAcentral describes it as "bacterial SSU rRNA". It matches the Rfam family "Bacterial small subunit ribosomal RNA", at positions 568 to 898 of the family's 1533-position model. The record is from RNAcentral.